Jatropha curcas is the source of this 791-nucleotide long non-coding RNA. RefSeq lists it as uncharacterized. Lineage: Eukaryota; Viridiplantae; Streptophyta; Magnoliopsida; Malpighiales; Euphorbiaceae. The record is from RefSeq and is a predicted model, not a curated record.
AGAGUGGUCGACCCCCUCUUUUGACAAGAGAGUGUCGCCCUCUUCACACACACGCACAAGAGAGAAAAGAAAGAGAGAACGAGAAGCUCUUCUUCCAUUUAUGAGACUUCCACCAUUGAAAUCUGCAAUCAAAUAACAAAUAGAGAGUUAUUAAUAUUAGAAUAGUCAAUUGAAACUAGUAGAUUAAGGUGCAAUUAGGCUGUGAUCACAGAAGGCAUUCCGUAAUCAAGGUAAGCUUCCGUUUUGCAAUCCGUAUGUUGUUUGCUUAUUUGAUUAUAUUUUUGGGCUUAAUGUCGUCAGGAGAUUUCUCGAAUCUCUAAUGGUUGCUUUGUUAUGUUUCGUUUUUGGAUUUCAUACUCAUCGAGGACGGUGAACCUUUUAAAGUUGAUAAGUGCAAAGGGAAGGCCUGAAUUUGCAAUAGAGUUUACUGUUGCACAAUUUUGAGGUUGAAAGUUUUGUUUACUGUGGAUCUCGAGUACCUGUAUCUAGAGAGAAGAUCUUCUCCAAACUUCUCCAGACUAGAAUUUGAGUUAUACUGCAGACUCGUGGCAUGUUUUAGAUUUGAAAGAAUGAGAGCUUGGAUUUACUAUGUGGUGCUUUAUUUUUUUUUUCCAGUAUUUUUAUUUUUGUCUCUUGAACUCUUAGAGGAUUUCAAAUUAGUUGCAUAAGGACUUGGACUCUAUUUUGAAUUAAACUUUUGAUACUUUUCUUUUAUUAAUGUUGGAUUUGAGGACGCUUCCUUUUGAGAAGUUGUUUUACUUAUAUUAAGGACUUCGGAGAAUUUUAAUCAA